UUUGCAAUUCAUUGGCAUGAAUUAUAAGAAGAUAGUUGUUUGUACUAAAGAUUGCAUUUUAUUUUAAAAUGUGUAUGCAUCAUUAAAUACGUGUCCUACAUAUAUAAAUUGGUAUGUGUUAUAAGAAAGAAAAUAAGAAAAAACUUUAUCCAAAGAGUUAGGUUAUUUUUUGAUAAUGUCAAGAUUUAUGAGCGUGUAUCAGAAUGCAGAAGGUGAAAACACUUAAUGUUAAGGUUACUGAUUGAUUGCUUAAACAACAUACAUAAU
This 267-nucleotide long non-coding RNA is filed under the name Lathyrus oleraceus (garden pea). Its description in RNAcentral is "Pisum sativum (pea) long non-coding RNA (PSAT_LNC001431)". The record is from RNAcentral. Lineage: Eukaryota; Viridiplantae; Streptophyta; Magnoliopsida; Fabales; Fabaceae.